CUACGGGGCGCACCAGUGAGGAAUAUUGCACAAUAGGGGGAACCCUGAUGCAGCAACGCCGCGUGGAGGAUGACGCAUUUCGGUGUGUAAACUCCUUUUAUAUGUCAAGAAAAUGACGGUAGCAUAUGAAUAAGCACCGGCUAACUCCGUGCCAGCAGCCGCGGUAAUACGGAGGGUGCAAGCGUUACUCGGAAUCACUGGGCGUAAAGGACGCGUAGGCGGGUUGGAAAGUCAGGUGUGAAAUCCUACAGCUUAACUGUAGAACUGCACUUGAAACUUCUAAUCUAGAGUAUGGGAGGGGGAGAUGGAAUUAGUGGUGUAGGGGUAAAAUCCGUAGAUAUCACUAGGAAUACCUAAAGCGAAGGCGAUCUCCUGGAACAUUACUGACGCUAAGGCGUGAAAGCGUGGGGAGCAAACAGGAUUAGAUACCCUAGUAGUC
RNAcentral lists this ribosomal RNA (439 nucleotides) under uncultured bacterium. RNAcentral's name for it is "partial 16S ribosomal RNA". It matches the Rfam family "Bacterial small subunit ribosomal RNA", at positions 339 to 795 of the family's 1533-position model. The record is from RNAcentral.